This 72-nucleotide transfer RNA is filed under the name Debaryomyces hansenii. Its description in RNAcentral is "tRNA-His". It matches the Rfam family "tRNA". From Rfam's summary of the family: Transfer RNA (tRNA) molecules are approximately 80 nucleotides in length. Their secondary structure includes four short double-helical elements and three loops (D, anti-codon, and T loops). Further hydrogen bonds mediate the characteristic L-shaped molecular structure. tRNAs have two regions of fundamental functional importance: the anti-codon, which is responsible for specific mRNA codon recognition, and the 3' end, to which the tRNAs corresponding amino acid is attached (by aminoacyl-tRNA synthetases). tRNAs cope with the degeneracy of the genetic code in two manners: having more than one tRNA (with a specific anti-codon) for a particular amino acid; and 'wobble' base-pairing, i.e. permitting non-standard base-pairing at the 3rd anti-codon position. The record is from RNAcentral. RNAcentral also lists the same sequence under 1 other name. Lineage: Eukaryota; Fungi; Ascomycota; Pichiomycetes; Serinales; Debaryomycetaceae.
GGUAGCCAUAGUUCAAUGGUAGAACACUCGCAUGUGGCGCGAUUUAUCUGAGUUCAACUCUCAGUGGUUAUC